AGGAUUUUCCACCGGUUUCAAACCAAACCGGUGGCAACUGCUAUUUUCGAACCGGUUCAAACCGGUGCCAAAUGGGAAAAAUAAAAAGCGGGCUGCUACUUUUCUUCUUCUUUCUUUCAUUCUUUCCAUGUUCUCUGUUUUAUUAAGUUCCGUCUCGUUUUCGACUUCGUUCUCUUUCCAGCAUCCCGAAUUUUCACCUUCUCCAUUGAAGUUGUUGCCCUAGCUUUCUCACUCCAUUGAAGCAGCACCUCCGCCUCCAUUGAAUUGUGCUCUAUGUUCUCCAUUGAAGCCGAAUAUGUGCUUUCUCACCUCCAUUGAAGCAACUUCGAGGGAUGCAGAUUCUUUGAAAUCCGUGGGUCGAGUUAAUCAACUAAAAGAUUUGGCACUGUUGCUAGAUGCUGCAAGCAAAGUUAUACCUUUCGUUGUCUGCGUCUCUGGGCGUGUUGGUUCUGAAACGCCAAUAAAAUGUGAAUGUUGUUGGGUUGUGAUUGUUGCUUGUACAUGCUAAUUAUAUGGUGAGUGGUGCUAGAAUCAUUAAUGCAGAAUUUCAAUGCAUUCAUGAUAGAUUAGACAUAGUUGUUUUCAGAUUUUAGAACAAAGAAAAAGGAAGAUGAACCAAGUUAGUAUCAAUAUUACUCUCUCCGUUGAAUUUAGCAAUCUAGGGUUUGUCGUUAAUCUAGCAAUUGUGUUAUAAAUUAGUGGAAUUACAUUAUGUACUCGGUUUUUAAAAAAAUUAGUGAUUAACAAUUGUUAGUUUGAUUAAUUUUUUAUAGAUUCAUAUGUGAAUUGAAGUACAAGUUUAGCUGCUUGAAGACUACAUAUUGUAGAUAUAGUGGGAAAUUAGAAAGAAUAUAUCCAUUGUACUUGCUAUAGUGUGCGCACAACAAGAUAACGGAGUUGAUUGUGGAC
Molecule: long non-coding RNA, 909 nt
Organism: Chenopodium quinoa (quinoa)
Lineage: Eukaryota; Viridiplantae; Streptophyta; Magnoliopsida; Caryophyllales; Amaranthaceae
Exons: 4
Source: RefSeq, a predicted model, not a curated record